RNAcentral lists this ribosomal RNA (468 nucleotides) under uncultured bacterium. Its description in RNAcentral is "partial 16S ribosomal RNA". It matches the Rfam family "Bacterial small subunit ribosomal RNA", at positions 28 to 507 of the family's 1533-position model. The record is from RNAcentral.
GACGAACGCUGGCGGCGUGCUUAACACAUGCAAGUCGAACGUAAAGGCCCUGCUUUUGUGGGGUGCUCGAGUGGCGAACGGGUGAGUAACACGUGAGUAACCUGCCCUUGACUUUGGGAUAACUUCAGGAAACUGGGGCUAAUACCGGAUAGGAGCUCCUGCUGCAUGGUGGGGGUUGGAAAGUUUCGGCGGUUGGGGAUGGACUCGCGGCUUAUCAGCUUGUUGGUGGGGUAGUGGCUUACCAAGGCUUUGACGGGUAGCCGGCCUGAGAGGGUGACCGGCCACAUUGGGACUGAGAUACGGCCCAGACUCCUACGGGAGGCAGCAGUGGGGAAUAUUGCACCAUGGGCGGAAGCCUGAUGCAGCAACGCCGCGUGCGGGAUGACGGCCUUCGGGUUGUAAACCGCUUUCGCCUGUGACGAAGCGUGAGUGACGGUAAUGGGUAAAGAAGCACCGGCUAACUACGUG